This 83-nucleotide small nuclear RNA is filed under the name Vulpes vulpes (red fox). RNAcentral describes it as "U4 spliceosomal RNA (ENSVVUG00000004428.1)". It matches the Rfam family "U4 spliceosomal RNA", at positions 1 to 83 of the family's 138-position model. From Rfam's summary of the family: U4 small nuclear RNA (U4 snRNA) is a component of the major U2-dependent spliceosome. The structure of U4 snRNA from yeast and human has been reported. Lineage: Eukaryota; Metazoa; Chordata; Mammalia; Carnivora; Canidae. The record is from RNAcentral.
AGCUUUGCGCAGUGGCAGCAUCAUAGCCAAUGAGGUUUAUCUGAGGCACGAUUAUUGCUAAUUGAAAAAACUUCCAAUUUCAC